UGGGGAAUAUUGGACAAUGGGCGCAAGCCUGAUCCAGCCAUGCCGCGUGAGUGACGAAGGCCUUAGGGUUGUAAAGCUCUUUUUGGCGGGGACGAUAAUGACGGUACCCGCAGAAUAAGCUCCGGCUAACUUCGUGCCAGCAGCCGCGGUAAUACGAAGGGAGCUAGCGUUGUUCGGAAUCACUGGGCGUAAAGCGCACGUAGGCGGAUGUGUCAGUCAGGGGUGAAAUCCCGGAGCUCAACUUCGGAACUGCCCUUGAUACAGCACGUCUUGAGUCCGAUAGAGGUGGGUGGAAUUCCUAGUGUAGAGGUGAAAUUCGUAGAUAUUAGGAAGAACACCGGUGGCGAAGGCGACUUGCUGGACUUAUGGUGACGCUGAGACGCGAAAGCGUGGGGAGCAAACGGGAUUAGAUACCCGCGUAGUCCCUGAGCGGGCUGGCAAGGCGCAU
This 448-nucleotide ribosomal RNA is filed under the name uncultured bacterium. Its description in RNAcentral is "bacterial SSU rRNA". It matches the Rfam family "Bacterial small subunit ribosomal RNA", at positions 355 to 825 of the family's 1533-position model. The record is from RNAcentral.